Long non-coding RNA from Salvelinus fontinalis (brook trout), 382 nucleotides. RefSeq lists it as uncharacterized. The transcript is spliced from 3 exons. The record is from RefSeq and is a predicted model, not a curated record. Lineage: Eukaryota; Metazoa; Chordata; Actinopteri; Salmoniformes; Salmonidae.
CUUGUUGUACAUGGAAUCUGUCUCACAUGCAUGAAUUUAAAAAAAAAACUUACGAUGUCAGCUGCUAAUUUUCAGAUUUACAGCCAUUUUCACUGGACUAUCUGUUGCUGCUAAGUCAUGGGUUAGCCUUGCAAUAACCAAGUGGUUAUAUCAGCUGUUUUGUUGAACCUCUCCCGCAUCUGAACUGGCUGACAGAGGGCACAGCCUGAUCAUAGGUAUGUUUUGAUGUGAGAGGAAUCCAGUCCCGACAGCGCAAUUGUGAUGAACUGAGAGAAUAUUAGGGUAGCACUGUCAUUCAUGAAUCAUAUGCUAUCUGCCGCUGUUCUUUCCUCUCUACCCACCUCAUCUUCUAAUGCACACCAUAUGUGCAUUGAAGUACAGA